Molecule: ribosomal RNA, 2917 nt
Filed under: Aeromonas hydrophila
Lineage: Bacteria; Pseudomonadati; Pseudomonadota; Gammaproteobacteria; Aeromonadales; Aeromonadaceae
Also listed under: 1 other name
Description: 23S ribosomal RNA
Rfam family: Bacterial large subunit ribosomal RNA
Source: RNAcentral
GUUGUAUGGUUAAGUGACUAAGCGUACAUGGUGGAUGCCUUGGCAGUCAGAGGCGAUGAAGGACGUACUAACCUGCGAUAAGCCGUGAGCAGUCGGUAAGAGACAUUACGACUCACGGAUUUCCGAAUGGGGAAACCCACUUAGCAUAAGCUAGGUAUCGCUACGUGAAUACAUAGCGUAGCGAGGCGAACCGGGAGAACUGAAACAUCUAAGUACCCCGAGGAAAAGAAAUCAACCGAGAUUCCCUCAGUAGCGGCGAGCGAACGGGGAUUAGCCCUUAAGCAUCUUGGAAGUUAGUGGAACGGUCCUGGAAAGGCCGGCGAUACAGGGUGAUAGCCCCGUACACGAAAACAACCUUGAUGUGAAAUCGAGUAGGGCGGGACACGUGACAUCCUGUCUGAAUAUGGGGGGACCAUCCUCCAAGGCUAAAUACUCCUGACUGACCGAUAGUGAACCAGUACCGUGAGGGAAAGGCGAAAAGAACCCCUGUGAGGGGAGUGAAAUAGAACCUGAAACCGUGUACGUACAAGCAGUGGGAGCCCUUCGGGGUGACUGCGUACCUUUUGUAUAAUGGGUCAGCGACUUACAUUUUGUAGCGAGGUUAACCGUAUAGGGGAGCCGUAGGGAAACCGAGUCUUAACUGGGCGUCUAGUUGCAAGGUGUAGACCCGAAACCGGGUGAUCUAGCCAUGGGCAGGUUGAAGGUUGAGUAACAUCAACUGGAGGACCGAACCCACUAACGUUGCAAAGUUAGGGGAUGACCUGUGGCUGGGGGUGAAAGGCCAAUCAAACUCGGAGAUAGCUGGUUCUCCCCGAAAGCUAUUUAGGUAGCGCCUCGGACGAAUACUACUGGGGGUAGAGCACUGUUUGGGCUAGGGGGUCAUCCCGACUUACCAACCCCAUGCAAACUCCGAAUACCAGUAAGUAAUAUCCGGGAGACACACGGCGGGUGCUAACGUCCGUCGUGAAGAGGGAAACAACCCAGACCGCCGGCUAAGGUCCCAAAGUUCUGGUUAAGUGGGAAACGAUGUGGGAAGGCUCAGACAGCUAGGAUGUUGGCUUAGAAGCAGCCAUCAUUUAAAGAAAGCGUAAUAGCUCACUAGUCGAGUCGGCCUGCGCGGAAGAUGUAACGGGGCUCAAACCAGGCACCGAAGCCGCGGAUUCACACUAAGUGUGAGUGGUAGGGGAGCGUUCUGUAAGUCUGCGAAGGUGUAUCGAGAGGUAUGCUGGAGAUAUCAGAAGUGCGAAUGCUGACGUAAGUAACGAUAAAGGGGGUGAAAAGCCUCCUCGCCGGAAGACCAAGGGUUCCUGUCCAACGUUAAUCGGGGCAGGGUGAGUCGACCCCUAAGGCGAGGCCGAAAGGCGUAGUCGAUGGGAAGCAGGUUAAUAUUCCUGCACGACUUGUAAUUGCGAUGGGGGGACGGAGAAGGCUAGGUGGGCCAGGCGACGGUUGUCCUGGUGAAAGUGCGUAGGUGGUGUUUCUAGGCAAAUCCGGAGACACAACACUGAGACACGAGACGAACACACUACGGUGUGGAAGCCAUUGAUGCCCUGCUUCCAGGAAAAGCCUCUAAGCUUCAGAUUACAAGUCAUCGUACCCCAAACCGACACAGGUGGUCGGGUAGAGAAUACCAAGGCGCUUGAGAGAACUCGGGUGAAGGAACUAGGCAAAAUAGAACCGUAACUUCGGGAGAAGGUUCGCUCUUGACAGUGAAGUCCCUUGCGGAUGGAGCAGUUGGGAGUCGCAGUGACCAGAUGGCUGGGACUGUUUAUCAAAAACACAGCACUCUGCAAACACGAAAGUGGACGUAUAGGGUGUGACACCUGCCCGGUGCCGGAAGGUUAAUUGAUGGGGUUAGCGCAAGCGAAGCUCUUGAUCGAAGCCCCGGUAAACGGCGGCCGUAACUAUAACGGUCCUAAGGUAGCGAAAUUCCUUGUCGGGUAAGUUCCGACCUGCACGAAUGGUGUAACCAUGGCCAUGCUGUCUCCACCCGAGACUCAGUGAAAUCGAAUUCGCCGUGAAGAUGCGGUGUACCCGCGGCUAGACGGAAAGACCCCGUGAACCUUUACUACAGCUUGGCACUGAACAUUGAACCUACAUGUGUAGGAUAGGUGGGAGGCUUUGAAGGCGUGACGCCAGUUGCGCUGGAGCCGUCCUUGAAAUACCACCCUUGUAUGUUUGAUGUUCUAACGCAGGCCCCUGAAUCGGGGUCGCGGACAGUGCCUGGUGGGUAGUUUGACUGGGGCGGUCUCCUCCCAAAGAGUAACGGAGGAGCACGAAGGUUGGCUAAUCCUGGUCGGACAUCAGGAGGUUAGUGCAAUGGCAUAAGCCAGCUUAACUGCGAGACGGACAGGUCGAGCAGGUACGAAAGUAGGUCAUAGUGAUCCGGUGGUUCUGAAUGGAAGGGCCAUCGCUCAACGGAUAAAAGGUACUCCGGGGAUAACAGGCUGAUACCGCCCAAGAGUUCAUAUCGACGGCGGUGUUUGGCACCUCGAUGUCGGCUCAUCACAUCCUGGGGCUGAAGUCGGUCCCAAGGGUAUGGCUGUUCGCCAUUUAAAGUGGUACGCGAGCUGGGUUCAGAACGUCGUGAGACAGUUCGGUCCCUAUCUGCCGUGGGCGUUGGAUGAUUGAAGGGAGUUGCUCCUAGUACGAGAGGACCGGAGUGAACGAACCUCUGGUGUUCGGGUUGUCACGCCAGUGGCACUGCCCGGUAGCUAAGUUCGGAAUCGAUAACCGCUGAAAGCAUCUAAGCGGGAAGCGAGCCCUGAGAUGAGUCAUCCCUGACCCCUUGAGGGUCCUAAAGGGCCGUUGGAGACCACAACGUUGAUAGGUGGGGUGUGUAAGCGCGGCGACGUGUUGAGCUAACCCAUACUAAUUACCCGUGAGGCUUAACCAUACAACACCCAAGAAGUGUUCU